This 305-nucleotide ribosomal RNA is filed under the name uncultured bacterium. RNAcentral's name for it is "bacterial SSU rRNA". It matches the Rfam family "Bacterial small subunit ribosomal RNA", at positions 336 to 639 of the family's 1533-position model. The record is from RNAcentral.
UUCCUACGGGACGCAGCAGUGAGGAAUAUUGGUCAAUGGUCGGGAGACUGAACCAGCCAAGCCGCGUGAGGGAUGAAGGUACAGAGUAUCGUAAACCUCUUUUGUCAGGGAACAAAGGCGGGGACGUGUCCCCGGAUGAGUGUACCUGAAGAAAAAGCAUCGGCUAACUCCGUGCCAGCAGCCGCGGUAAUACGGAGGAUGCGAGCGUUAUCCGGAUUUAUUGGGUUUAAAGGGUGCGUAGGCGGGCAUUUAAGCCGGCGGUCAAAAGUCGGGGCUCAACCCCGGCCUGCCGUCCGCACCUGGUG